GCAGCUCGCUUCAGCACUACAUCUAUUAAAUUGGAAAGAUACAGAGAUUACCCUGGCUCCUGUGGAAGGAUGACAUGAAAAUUCAUGACGCAUUCUGUACUUGA
This is a small nuclear RNA of Nomascus leucogenys (northern white-cheeked gibbon), 104 nucleotides long. The record is from RefSeq and is a predicted model, not a curated record. NCBI's taxonomy places the organism in Eukaryota, Metazoa, Chordata, Mammalia, Primates, Hylobatidae.